Citrus sinensis (sweet orange) is the source of this 154-nucleotide non-coding RNA. The record is from Rfam. NCBI's taxonomy places the organism in Eukaryota, Viridiplantae, Streptophyta, Magnoliopsida, Sapindales, Rutaceae.
AUGCAAGAGACUGUCAAGUUAGCCAAAAGACGACCGCCUAAUAAUACCCCAAAGGGGUUUUAAUCAAAUUAGUAAUUUAACCAACAUUUGGACACCACUUGGAAAUUAAGAUCAGGCGCGAGUCAUCCUUGGCUGCUAAACUAUACUCUUGGCU